GAUGAACGCUGGCGGCGUGCUUAACACAUGCAAGUCGAACGAAGCAUUUAGAACAGAUUACUUCGGUUUGAAGUUCUUUAUGACUGAGUGGCGGACGGGUGAGUAACGCGUGGGUAACCUGCCUUGUACUGGGGGAUAGCAGCUGGAAACGGCUGGUAAUACCGCAUAAGCGCACAAUGUUGCAUGACAUGGUGUGAAAAACUCCGGUGGUAUAAGAUGGACCCGCGUCUGCUUAGCUAGUUGGUGAGAUAACAGCCCACCAAGGCGACGAUCAGUAGCCGAUCUGAGAGGGUGACCGGCCACAUUGGGACUGAGACACGGCCCAGACUCCUACGGGAGGCAGCAGUGGGGAAUAUUGCACAAUGGAGGAAAGUCUGAUGCAGCGACGCCGCGUGAGUGAAGAAGUAAUUCGUUAUGUAAAGCUCUAUCAGCAGGGAAGAUAGUGACGGUACCUGACUAAGAAGCCCCGGCUAAAUACGUG
This 481-nucleotide ribosomal RNA is filed under the name uncultured bacterium. RNAcentral's name for it is "partial 16S ribosomal RNA". It matches the Rfam family "Bacterial small subunit ribosomal RNA", at positions 28 to 507 of the family's 1533-position model. The record is from RNAcentral.